RNAcentral lists this ribosomal RNA (433 nucleotides) under uncultured bacterium. RNAcentral describes it as "partial 16S ribosomal RNA". It matches the Rfam family "Bacterial small subunit ribosomal RNA", at positions 29 to 507 of the family's 1533-position model. The record is from RNAcentral.
AACGAACGCUGGCGGCAUGCCUAACACAUGUAAGUCGAACGAGACCUUCGGGUCUAGUGGCGCACGGGUGCGUAACGCGUGGGAACCUGCCCUUAGGUUCGGAAUAACUCCCCGAAAGGGGUGCUAAUACCGGAUAAUGUCUUCGGACCAAAGAUUUAUCGCCUUUGGAUGGGCCCGCGUUGGAUUAGCUAGUUGGUAGGGUAAAAGCCUACCAAGGCGACGAUCCAUAGCUGGUCUGAGAGGAUGAUCAGCCACACUGGGACUGAGACACGGCCCAGACUCCUACGGGAGGCAGCAGUGGGGAAUAUUGGACAAUGGGCGAAAGCCUGAUACAGCAAUGCCGCGUGAGUGAUGAAGGCCUUAGGGUUGUAAAGCUCUUUUACCCGGGAUGAUAAUGACAGUACCGGGAGAAUAAGCUCCGGCUAACUCCGUG